This is a long non-coding RNA of Malaclemys terrapin pileata, 430 nucleotides long. RefSeq lists it as uncharacterized. The transcript has 3 exons. The record is from RefSeq and is a predicted model, not a curated record. Lineage: Eukaryota; Metazoa; Chordata; Testudines; Emydidae.
UGAUAUUCAGUUCCUGGCCAAACAACAGCCAUGAAGAUACUUUAUCUUCUUUUUGCUCUCUUCUUCUUGGUGGCACAAAGUAGUGCUCAAGCUUAUGACCGGGGUAUCAUUGGAACUGCGGCAUGUUUCGCUCGUAGGGGUCGAUGCUACUUUUUCCGAUGUCCUCCCAGGACUAGACGCAUUGGACUCUGCACAUGGAUUAAUCCUUGUUGUAGACGGGGGUGAGUGAUGGCAUCAGAGAUCGUCAGUCCAGGACCUCUGAGAAUCUGGCACACGACGCCUUGCUUCUAAAAUCCUUGGAUCCUUUUCAUCUGGGCUGUGAAGAAUCUUGUGAGCUGGAAAAAAUCCACAGAGGAGCCCUUGUAUCACCCAUAAUAGCUUGUUCUUCUCCAUUUAAUAAAAGUAACUGGUUGUGGUGGUGUAUUGCAAA